This 23-nucleotide unclassified non-coding RNA is filed under the name Mus musculus (house mouse). Its description in RNAcentral is "oocyte_clustered_small_RNA3157". The record is from RNAcentral. Lineage: Eukaryota; Metazoa; Chordata; Mammalia; Rodentia; Muridae.
AAGGCACAGAUUUCAGAGAACAG